RNAcentral lists this transfer RNA (69 nucleotides) under Haematomyzus elephantis (elephant louse). RNAcentral describes it as "tRNA-Glu". The record is from RNAcentral. Lineage: Eukaryota; Metazoa; Arthropoda; Insecta; Psocodea; Haematomyzidae.
CAAGCAAUAGUUUAAUCAUUUAAAACAUUCCCUUUUCGAGGGAAGGAAGGAUGUGUAGUCCUUGCUUGA